Molecule: ribosomal RNA, 468 nt
Filed under: uncultured bacterium
Lineage: Bacteria
Description: partial 16S ribosomal RNA
Rfam family: Bacterial small subunit ribosomal RNA
Source: RNAcentral
GACGAACGCUGGCGGCGGGCUUAACACAUGCAAGUCGAACGGAAAGGUCCUGCUUGUGUGGGAUGCUCGAGUGGCGAACGGGUGAGUAACACGUGAGUAACCUGCCCUUGACUUUGGGAUAACUUCAGGAAACUGGGGCUAAUACCGGAUAGGAGCUCCUGCUGCAUGGUGGGGGUUGGAAAGUUUCGGCGGUUGGGGAUGGGCUCGCGGCUUAUCAGCUUGUUGGUGGGGUAGUGGCUUACCAAGGCUUUGACGGGUAGCCGGCCUGAGAGGGUGACCGGCCACCUUGCGACUGAGCUACGGGCCGGACUCCUACGGGAGGCAGCAGUGGGGAAUAUUGCCCGAUGCGCGGAAGCCUGAUGCAGCAACGCCGCGUGCGGGAUGACGGCCUUCGGGUUGUAAACCGCUUUCGCCUGUGACGAAGCGUGCGUGCCGGUAAUGGGUAAAGAAGCACCGGCUAACUCCGUG